Long non-coding RNA from Rhododendron vialii, 1483 nucleotides. RefSeq lists it as uncharacterized. The transcript has 8 exons. The record is from RefSeq and is a predicted model, not a curated record. NCBI's taxonomy places the organism in Eukaryota, Viridiplantae, Streptophyta, Magnoliopsida, Ericales, Ericaceae.
ACUCGAUGAAAGAUAUUCACCACGGUGACGCAAAGUCGGCCAAUGAUCGUGCAUUAAGGACCAGGACAGCACCUAGACCUCAAAAUCCUCUAGGUUUGUCCAUAUGAUUACUUGGGUUGUCUGUCUUGUUUCUUUUUUGUUGUUUGAGCUCCAAUUGUUGCUUACAUCUGUGGCCAUUCGCAGGAAACGUGAUUGAAAAUGCUUUUUCCACGACUUACUAAAGAGGCAAGAGCAUCUCCGGCUCUUACUCUUUCGAUUGAUUCGUGACCAAAUUCUGACUAUCGCUAAUCCGUUUGUGAGAUUUUCAAGGCAUGGGACAAUUACACUAGGUUGAUUCUGGAGGAAUCCUCCAGAUGAUUUGAGGAUGCUUCUUCCUCGAAGAAGGGACAAGUUGGGACCUUUUGCUCCGGUGAAACACUGAAGUAUCUGUUCUUGGCUCUUGGGGACAACUUUGGUAAUCGUUUCGCAGGAGAAAGUGAGCGGAAAAUUGUUUGCAUUUCUAUUAUUGCAUCUGGAAGCCAAGGUUCAGUGUCAUAGUACUCUUUGAGGUCAAAGCAAGCUUACCGGCGAUCCUCAAUAGCUCUUCUAAGGAAUCAGGUCCAAGGACACAAAUGGAGACGGAGGAGUAAUUCAUGACUGUGACAAGUACGUACUUGGUCUUGCCCAUGAAUCUCUGCAAUGAAAUCCUGCCACCAGAAAUCAUUUGGACAUCAUUCUCAAUCCAGAUAUGCUACAGGUUUAAAAACGGCUUGGAAGCAGCAUAAUUUUGUAGGAAAGAGAACGUACAAAAUUUCUCGUGUGGCUGGUCCGAUGAACGACGAGGUUUGUCAUGUUUCCAAUGAGAUAUGAGUUUUGUGCACCGAAUCCAGAAAUAGCUGUAGCGGAUGUCCUUCUCUAGUCUGAAGGAAAGAAAAUGUUGAGGCUGAGGGAUUGGAAGGGCAGUGUUGAACAGAUAUCAAAAAGAAACCAGGUUGAUAUGUACCUGUAAUUUGGAAAAGGGUGUCAUCUAAAGAGGGUCAGCAACUUUUUAGACAGAAAACACAAAUGACUAUUGAAAUUCCUUGCUUAAGGACCUGGUUGCAAUUUUCUUGGGGUCAUCAACAAGAAGAUACGAUUGACUGUCAAGAUAUGCCACAAAGAAGGUGAGAACAAUAUCGAUGGUAAAGAAGCCAUUGACAAUGUUGUCAAUUAUGAAAAGGGCAUCUUGCUUGUUUUUCAGAAAUGCAAACUCAAAUGGGCAGAUCCAGGCGGAGUAAACCACUAGAACAAUCAAGAACAUCUCCCAAGCCCUGAAAUGAAGAACAUAGAAUGAGGUUUGGCAUAGUUUCUUGUUUCUUGUUUCUUGUUUUAUGUUAUGAUUUCUCUGAGACACAGGAAACUUGUUUGGUUGAUGGUUUUUGAAAUUUGCUUUUGUUUUCAGUUUUCGUGAAACUAACUCAUUUUUUUGAGAAAGCACAAACAAGAUGCUUUUCGAUUCUUGAAA